Molecule: long non-coding RNA, 737 nt
Organism: Xiphophorus couchianus (Monterrey platyfish)
Lineage: Eukaryota; Metazoa; Chordata; Actinopteri; Cyprinodontiformes; Poeciliidae
Exons: 3
Source: RefSeq, a predicted model, not a curated record
UCCUGCUUCCUGUAUUUCCUGCCUCAGCUGUUUGGUGUUGCUAAUCAGACAGAGUUCGGUUCUGUUCGGAUGUUUUCCUGGUUUGGUUCCUGCAGCAUGUGUUCAGCAGCAGGAUGAGACCUGCUGACCUCAGAGCAGCGCCGCCGUGUUUCAGCCGUCCUGUGAAGCUUCACCUCCAGGUUUCGACGUUUCAUCAAGGAGUUUGGAUUCCAGAGGAACCAGAACCAGAAACAGACUGAACUGGAGAACCAGGAGAAGAUUAUCUGGAUUUCACUUUUUCACAGGCAAAAAACUCAAAAUGCGACAGAAGCUAAAAAACGCUGAGAGACGAACGAGCGACGAGUUGAACCGGAGAAACAAACUCAUCAUUUUUAAAUAUUUGCUUUUAUUUUAGAGAAAACUCAAAGUUCCCGUCCUGGUUCCACCAAAAAACUGUUUAGAGUCAUUUCAGAAAUUUCUUAGAAAAACUUGUCAAUUCUGUAAAUAUAAAUUUGCAGGAAAAUCUGACAAAUUUUGAGAUUAAUCUCUUGAAUUUUCUUUAAAACUUGGAAAUUCUCUGAACUACAAUAAUCGUAAAUUUGUAGGAAAAAUAAACUUUUUAGAUCAACAUUUUCUUGGCAGUGUUUGUAGCUUGUAAAGAACAUUUUUGACUUUUCAAUUCUUUAUUUAUUGGUAACUUUAGCUUUAAAUACUCCACUUUAACUUCUAUCAUUUAUUUAACUGUAUUUUUUCUUAGU